Varanus komodoensis (Komodo dragon) is the source of this 2460-nucleotide long non-coding RNA. RefSeq lists it as uncharacterized. The transcript is spliced from 4 exons. The record is from RefSeq and is a predicted model, not a curated record. Lineage: Eukaryota; Metazoa; Chordata; Lepidosauria; Squamata; Varanidae.
ACCAAGACUGGAGCAGAAGAAGACACAAAAAUGGGAGCAGAAUUAGAACAGAUAAUUAUAUUCUUCAUUUUUCCAUUCCUUGAUAUCAAAAUAUUGAUCCUCAUCAGGCCAUACCCAAUGAUCCCUCUUUUCUUCCAACCAAGUUUUGCUUUGCUGCCUUCACUCAGUUUUAGCAACCAUCUGUUCCCUUUUUUUUUUUUUUUUUUGGUCCUGAUUUGUUCUCUCUAGUGUUCCAACCCAUGAUUUCUAUUCACUUUGCUCUAUAAUACUGAAGCUCCUUCAUCUCCUUUUGUUUCAAAACCCUUUGCUAAAGCUUCUUUCAGCUGUUCUAUCCAGGGUGCUGUUCCAUUAGGUGUUCAUGGAACAGGAUGCUGCAGCCAAUACCUGCUGCCGGCUACAUGUACUUGUACAAAUUUUUACAUGUGUUUUCAAGUGCCUGUUUUUGUUUCAUUCAUUGUGUAUGCUUGCUGGCUCAUUCCUCAAAGUGUUAAGGCAUGAUAAAAAUGAAAACAUCCUUGAUUAGGUGCUCCUUCCUUUUCUAUUCUGUCUAGUAAAAUGUGCCCAUGCCUGGAUGCUACUGAGCAGUGUGUUUUCCUGUCUGCAUCCCACAUCAACUGCUGCAGGUGGAUAUUACAAAAUCAUACAGCAUGCUGAGGUCACAAAGGCUGAAGGUAACCUAACAAGGUUUGACAGAAUGGGAAGCAAUGAAUGUGACAGAUGGCCAUUUUCAGUGGCAGACUUGUAUUUAUUGCAACAACCUAUUCUCCCCUUGGUAUAGAUUUCUGCAUAUAUGCUUUCAUCCAGUGAGUUCAGGAUGCUACACACAGUUGCUUUAUCCUCACAACACUAUCCUGUGAGGUAGGUCAGGCUGAGAGAGAGUAAAUGGCCUAUUUCAUCAAGGCUCAGUGGGAAUUUGAACCCAGACCACGCCUGACACUCUACACAAGGUUUGGACUUUCUGCCACUGCUGGCAUUUGUGUUAAAAUAAGAAAUCCCUUCCCCUCAGAAUCUAUAUAUGACACCUGAUGUAUCACUCUUUCUUUCUAUUUAUCUUGCCUUUCUGGCAACCACUGUCAAGGCACUGCCAACUUGCAUGGAAAACACAGAGCUGAGCACCAUUUUAAAGCCUUGCCUGGAUCUGGUUCCUUAUCAGCAACAAAUACUGAGCAAGUGUUUAGUGAAUUCAGUGGAAGCCUGAGCUGCCUCUGCUGCCUGGAAAGACAAAGAGCUUCAUUUGAACCGUCAUUAUCAGGGUUGUUUUCCUCUUGACAGAAAAUACCACCUGAUGAUAUCCCAAGCACCAUACUUGCAGCUGACAGCAAGAGUCUUUGCUAGCUGCAGCACUUGUUAGAGUGCUAAUUUCAGCCAUCCAUUCAGUGAAUGGGAGUUCUGGGCUCUGUUCAUUAUUUCUACUUAACCAUUUCUUUCCUCUACUUAACCCACUUAUCUACUUUUUGGAGAAGCAAGCUUGAUUCAUACCCUUUGAUAGACCUGCUGUAGCAACAACUGCCUCUGUUAUGGAUAGGGGGAGGGGUGAGAAGCUUCAGGUGGAAAGUUUAUUAUUUAUUUAUUUAUACAUACAAUUUCUAUGCCGCCCCAUUUGCAAAAAGCCUCGGGGCGGCUUACAACAUAAAUAAACAAUUAUACAAUUAGCCUUAAAAAAGUUGCUUUCCCCACCCCCAUGCCUCUCCCAUCUGUAAAGUGCUGAGGCCAUUGCCAUGGGCAGAGCAAAGGAUGGGUCUAGACCUGUUUUUGCAAACCUAGCAGUGCUUUCUGUUCCUUAGAAAUGACAGUGUCCUCCAGGCAGGGCUGUGUCAGGGUGCCAUGAUCCAGCAAGAGGCCCACCAUUCAUGGACUAUACUUCCUGCUGCUCACUGCCACAGUCCCAGUCACCUGAUUUCUCCCUCUAGAUGCUAGAAACUUAAAUGGACACAACCACUGCCCGAGGAGGAAAGGAAUUCUUUCCCUGCCAACCCGUGAAGGGGGAAGCUAAGCUACACAGUCUUGACCAUCAAAUGGGCUACAAGCAAAAAGAGGCAUAGUGUGGAGAGUGACUAGGGAGCAACAGAGCCAAGAUGACCUGUGCCACAGGUGAAGGAAAAUGGAGAAGGCCCUCUCACUCACUGAAUCUACUCUGAUCUGAGGGCGAUUUGCUUCCUGGUUCCAAACAUAGAAACCAAGCUAAGCAACUUAGUCACAAACCUGCCUGAGCCAAGAACUGCCAGGGUAACUAGCAGCUAUAUUCAAGCCAAGGGGCAACUGAACUUCAGCACUGGCUAUGCCAGUUGAUGAGGUCAAGUUGGUGCCCCUACCUGCAUCCACAUCGUUGGGCCACCCACUGGACUGGCUGCUGCCAGCUGCUGGAGACCGCCCUGUUCCAGGGUAGAACACAUCAUCUACAGGGCUCUCCAUCUCACUGUCAUCUAUUGAUUUGGGCCUCUUGGUGGAACUGCAAUUGAA